UACAGAGGUCUCAAGCGUUGUUCGGAUUCAUUGGGCGUAAAGGGUGCGUAGGCGGCGCGGUAAGUCGGAUGUGAAAUCUCGGGGCUUAACUCCGAAACUGCAUUCGAUACUACCGUGCUUGAGGACUGGAGAGGAGACUGGAAUUUACGGUGUAGCGGUGAAAUGCGUAGAUAUCGUAAGGAAGACCAGUGGCGAAGGCGGGUCUCUGGUCAGUUCCUGACGCUGAGGCACGAAGGCCAGGGGAGCAAACGGG
RNAcentral lists this ribosomal RNA (253 nucleotides) under uncultured bacterium. Its description in RNAcentral is "partial 16S ribosomal RNA". It matches the Rfam family "Bacterial small subunit ribosomal RNA", at positions 524 to 776 of the family's 1533-position model. The record is from RNAcentral.